Molecule: ribosomal RNA, 384 nt
Filed under: Medaeus elegans
Lineage: Eukaryota; Metazoa; Arthropoda; Malacostraca; Decapoda; Xanthidae
Description: partial 12S ribosomal RNA
Source: RNAcentral
UUAGAUACCCUAUUAUACUAAUAAAGCCCUAAAUUAUUGUUAGAUAUGUUCUUUAAAUUUAAAGAAUUUGGCGGUGAUUUAGUCUUGUUAGAGGAACCUGUUUUUGAAUCGAUAAACCACGAAUUAUCUUGCUUACUUUUGUGUACAGUUUAUAUACCGUCAUUAUUAGAUAAUUUUUAAAGGAAUAAUUAUUAAAAUUUUUAAUAAAUAAAAAUGAAAUUAGAUCAAGGUGUAGCUAAUAAGUAAGCUAAAAUGGGUUACAAUAAAAUUUAUAUAGACGGUAAUAGUAGUUUAAAAUUACUAUAAAGGUGGAUUUAAUUGUAAUAAGAGUUUAACAUGCUUUUAGGAUAUAAGCCCUAGAUCAUGUACAUAUCGCCCGUCGCU